This is a long non-coding RNA of Mauremys reevesii (Reeves's turtle), 268 nucleotides long. RefSeq lists it as uncharacterized. Lineage: Eukaryota; Metazoa; Chordata; Testudines; Geoemydidae. The transcript is spliced from 3 exons. The record is from RefSeq and is a predicted model, not a curated record.
CUCCGAGUGUGCAAUGCCUGCCUGCUCGGGAGCGCAGCGUCCUUCACAGCGGAUUGGUUCCUCUUUCGGAGCAGAGCUUACAAUCCAUAGUGCUUAAUAGACGGAUGAAAGACAGGAUCCCUGCCCUAAAGGGUAUAAAAAUCUAAACUGAGAUGCAAUUGUGGAUACAAGGACUGGAGGAGGGGAAAACAGAAGAUAAAGGUUGUGCCAAAACCUCUUGAAGAUGAAUAGCUUUGUGUGCUAAGUAUGAAUGAUCAGAAACAGCUGC